This 24-nucleotide ribosomal RNA is filed under the name Trichoderma longibrachiatum. RNAcentral describes it as "partial 28S ribosomal RNA". The record is from RNAcentral. Lineage: Eukaryota; Fungi; Ascomycota; Sordariomycetes; Hypocreales; Hypocreaceae.
UUGACCUCGGAUCAGGUAGGAAUG